Molecule: transfer-messenger RNA, 377 nt
Filed under: Frondihabitans australicus
Lineage: Bacteria; Bacillati; Actinomycetota; Actinomycetes; Micrococcales; Microbacteriaceae
Description: Standard tmRNA
Rfam family: transfer-messenger RNA
About the family: Bacterial tmRNA, also known as 10Sa RNA or SsrA, is named for its dual tRNA and mRNA-like properties. Its role is to liberate the mRNA from a stalled ribosome. To accomplish this part of the tmRNA is used as a reading frame that ends in a translation stop signal.
Source: Rfam by way of RNAcentral
GGGGAUGAUCGGUUUCGACAUUGCCUGUAUGCGAACGAGAAGCGGGCCGAGGAUGUGGGGUUAUCUCGUAAACGCUCCCCGCAAAACAAUAAGUGCCAAUAAAAAGAGCACUGACUUCGCUCUCGCUGCGUAAGCAGUAGAGCCCUAAAAGUCCGUCAGACCGGUGACCGUUCUCUAACCGGAUCCUGGCGUCAGCUAGAGAACUCGCUGCACGGUUGCGUCACAGGGCCGCGCGGGACUUCCACUGCGACUGGGCUCGUCCACCUAGAUGCCGAUAGCAAAGGUGGGAGCCGAGCAGAACGAAUCAAUCGGCUACACCCGUAGAAGGCGUUCAAUCUCAGCAGUGGACGGGGGUUCAAUUCCCCCCAUCUCCACCA